This is a long non-coding RNA of Bombina bombina (fire-bellied toad), 263 nucleotides long. RefSeq lists it as uncharacterized. The record is from RefSeq and is a predicted model, not a curated record. The transcript is spliced from 2 exons. NCBI's taxonomy places the organism in Eukaryota, Metazoa, Chordata, Amphibia, Anura, Bombinatoridae.
CAUCAUUUGAGAUCCAAAAGUGUUCUCCUCCUACUUGUGAAUACCUUCUAUAGAGCUACAUUCUUCAUCAGGAGAUCCAUAAGUGGCCUCAUAUUUCUUAAUGAAGGUCGGUGUUCUCCCCAGGACCUUUUUAGUGGGUGCAUUACCCAGCUGAUUUUUCUCACCGCCCGGCUAACAUUUUAGUCAAUAUUAAGCUAAAAUAAGCUAAUAUUAAGUGUUCAAUUUGUAUUGCACAAAUUAUCAUUAAAUACAUUUAUGUUAAA